This 426-nucleotide ribosomal RNA is filed under the name uncultured Paenibacillaceae bacterium. Its description in RNAcentral is "partial 16S ribosomal RNA". It matches the Rfam family "Bacterial small subunit ribosomal RNA", at positions 355 to 774 of the family's 1533-position model. The record is from RNAcentral. Lineage: Bacteria; Bacillati; Bacillota; Bacilli; Caryophanales; Paenibacillaceae. RNAcentral also lists the same sequence under 1 other name.
UAGGGAAUCUUCCGCAAUGGGCGAAAGCCUGACGGAGCAACGCCGCGUGAGCGAGGAAGGUCUUCGGAUCGUAAAGCUCUGUUGCCAGGGAAGAAAAGGCGCUUGUUGACUGCAGGCGCAUUGACGGUACCUGAGACAGAAAGCCCCGGCUAACUACGUGCCAGCAGCCGCGGUAAUACGUAGGGGGCAAGCGUUGUCCGGAAUUAUUGGGCGUAAAGCGCGCGUAGGCGGCCCUUUAAGUCUCGUGUUUAAACCCGGAGCUCAACUUCGGGUCGCACGGGAAACUGGGGGGCUUGAGUGCAGGAGAGGGAAGCGGAAUUCCACGUGUAGCGGUGAAAUGCGUAGAGAUGUGGAGGAACACCAGUGGCGAAGGCGGCUUCCUGGUCUGUAACUGACGCUGAGGCGCGAAAGCGUGGGGAGCAAACA